CAAUAGCGUAUAUUAAAGUUGUUGCAGUUAAAAAGCUCGUAGUUGGAUUUGUGGUGUGUCCAGUCGGCCUUUGCUCUCUGAGUGAUUGUGCUGUACUGGUCUGCCAUGUUUGGGUGGAAUCUGUGUGGCAUUAAGUUGUCGUGCAGGGGAUGCCCAUCGUUUACUGUGAAAAAAUUAGAGUGUUCAAAGCAGGCUUAUGCCGUUGAAUAUAUUAGCAUGGAAUAAUGAUAUAGGACCUUGGUACUAUUUUGUUGGUUUGCGCACUAAGGUAAUGAUUAAGAGGGACAGUUGGGGGUAUUUGUAUUCCAUUGUCAGAGGUGAAAUUCUUAGAUUUUUGGAAGACAAACUACUGCGAAAGCAUUUACCAAGGAUGUUUUCAUUAA
Molecule: ribosomal RNA, 383 nt
Filed under: uncultured eukaryote
Lineage: Eukaryota
Description: partial 18S ribosomal RNA
Rfam family: Eukaryotic small subunit ribosomal RNA
Source: RNAcentral